This is a long non-coding RNA of Photinus pyralis (common eastern firefly), 356 nucleotides long. RefSeq lists it as uncharacterized. Lineage: Eukaryota; Metazoa; Arthropoda; Insecta; Coleoptera; Lampyridae. The record is from RefSeq and is a predicted model, not a curated record. The transcript is spliced from 2 exons.
GAGAGCGGAAAGAAAAGUCCUAUUCAGGCGCUCUCCAGAUAUCAAACAUUUAUAGACCGUUUGUUCAGUCUUUUUUUUAUAAUUUAAAAAUUCAGCUUUUGAGCUAUUUUUUUGGCAAAGAAGGGUUUGAAACCCUUCUUUGUUCUGGUUAUUGUUAAUUGUUAUAACUACCUCAUCGUAAUAUACCGAGCAUCCAGACCAAUCGCCUCGCCAGUGCAAAUCAAGGACGUUUUACCUAACCAUCCACCCAGAGCCGGACCAACAGGAAGAAGACCAGCCACUAACAACCGCAAGUAGCCUAAUUAAACUUACGAGUAGCAAGUUAACAGCAAUUAAAUAAAGAAAGUUAGCCGGUG